This 483-nucleotide ribosomal RNA is filed under the name uncultured bacterium. RNAcentral describes it as "partial 16S ribosomal RNA". It matches the Rfam family "Bacterial small subunit ribosomal RNA", at positions 30 to 507 of the family's 1533-position model. The record is from RNAcentral.
AUUGAACGCUGGCGGCAGGCCUAACACAUGCAAGUCGAGCGGAUGAAGGGAGCUUGCUCCUGGAUUCAGCGGCGGACGGGUGAGUAAUGCCUAGGAAUCUGCCUGGUAGUGGGGAAAAACGUCGGAAAACGGGCGCUAUUACGCCAUACUUCCUAGGGAGGAAGGGGGGGAAUCUUGGAACCUAACGCUAUAGGAGAAGCUAGGUCGGAUUAGCUAGUUGGUGGGGUAAAGGCCUACCAAGGCGACGAUCCGUAACUGGUCUGAGAGGAUGAUCAGUCACACUGGAACUGAGACACGGUCCAGACUCCUACGGGAGGCAGCAGUGGGGAAUAUUGGACAAUGGGCGAAAGCCUGAUCCAGCCAUGCCGCGUGUGUGAAGAAGGUCUUCGGAUUGUAAAGCACUUUAAGUUGGGAGGAAGGGCAGUAAGUUAAUACCUUGCUGUUUUGACGUUACCAACAGAAUAAGCACCGGCUAACUUCGUG